UACGUAGGGUGCGAGCGUUGUCCGGAAUUAUUGGGCGUAAAGGGCUCGUAGGCGGUCUGUCGCGUCUGCUGUGAAAACUCAGGGCUUAACCCUGAGCUUGCAGUGGGUACGGGCAGGCUUGAGUUCGGUAGGGGAGACUGGAAUUCCUGGUGUAGCGGUGAAAUGCGCAGAUAUCAGGAGGAACACCGGUGGCGAAGGCGGGUCUCUGGGCCGAUACUGACGCUGAGGAGCGAAAGCGUGGGGAGCGAACAGG
RNAcentral lists this ribosomal RNA (253 nucleotides) under uncultured bacterium. RNAcentral describes it as "partial 16S ribosomal RNA". It matches the Rfam family "Bacterial small subunit ribosomal RNA", at positions 524 to 776 of the family's 1533-position model. The record is from RNAcentral.